RNAcentral lists this ribosomal RNA (207 nucleotides) under uncultured bacterium. Its description in RNAcentral is "partial 16S ribosomal RNA". It matches the Rfam family "Bacterial small subunit ribosomal RNA", at positions 568 to 774 of the family's 1533-position model. The record is from RNAcentral.
AGUGUAGGCGGCUUCGUAAGUCGGAUGUGAAAGCCCCGGGCUUAACCUGGGAAUUGCAUUCGAUACUGCGCGGCUAGAGUCUGAUAGAGGGAAGUGGAAUUCCAGGUGUAGCGGUGAAAUGCGUAGAUAUCUGGAGGAACACCAGCGGCGAAGGCGGCUUCCUGGAUCAAGACUGACGCUGAGGCUCGAAAGCGUGGGGAGCAAACA